Molecule: ribosomal RNA, 411 nt
Filed under: uncultured prokaryote
Description: bacterial SSU rRNA
Rfam family: Bacterial small subunit ribosomal RNA
Source: RNAcentral
GUGCCAGCAGCCGCGGUAAUACGGAGGAUGCAAGCGUUAUCCGGAUUCAUUGGGUUUAAAGGGUGCGUAGGCGGAGUACUAAGUCAGCGAUGAAAUCCUGCAGCUUAACUGUAGAACUGUCAUUGAUACUGGUAUUCUUGAAUGCAGUUGAGGUAGGCGGAAUGUGUAAUGUAGCGGUGAAAUGCUUAGAUAUUACACAGAACACCGAUUGCGAAGGCAGCUUACUAAACUGUGAUUGACGCUGAGGCACGAAAGCGUGGGGAGCAAACAGGAUUAGAUACCCUGGUAGUCCACGCCGUAAACUAUGAUUACUCGCUGUUGGCGAUACAUUGUCAGCGGCUGAGCGAAAGCAUUAAGUAAUCCACCUGGGGAGUACGAUCGCAAGGUUGAAACUUAAAUGAAUUGACGGGG